This 253-nucleotide ribosomal RNA is filed under the name uncultured bacterium. RNAcentral's name for it is "partial 16S ribosomal RNA". It matches the Rfam family "Bacterial small subunit ribosomal RNA", at positions 524 to 776 of the family's 1533-position model. The record is from RNAcentral.
UACAGAGGUCCCAAGCGUUGUUCGGAUUCAUUGGGCGUAAAGCGCGCGUAGGCGGCCUUUCAAGUUGGGUGUGAAAGCCCGGGGCUUAACCCCGGAAAUGCGCCCAAGACUGUUAGGCUGGAGUCCGAGAGAGGUGAGUGGAACUCCCAGUGUAGAGGUGAAAUUCGUAGAUAUUGGGAAGAACACCGGUGGCGAAGGCGGCUCACUGGAUCGGUACUGACGCUGAGGCGCGAAAGCGUGGGGAGCAAACAGG